Molecule: small nuclear RNA, 136 nt
Filed under: Aotus nancymaae (Ma's night monkey)
Lineage: Eukaryota; Metazoa; Chordata; Mammalia; Primates; Aotidae
Description: U4 spliceosomal RNA (ENSANAG00000003886.1)
Rfam family: U4 spliceosomal RNA
About the family: U4 small nuclear RNA (U4 snRNA) is a component of the major U2-dependent spliceosome. The structure of U4 snRNA from yeast and human has been reported. U4 snRNA presents a k-turn RNA motif in the 5p-SL related to recognition of Snu13 protein.
Source: Rfam by way of RNAcentral
AGCUUUGCACAGUGGCAGUGUUGUAGUUAUCCAAGGCGGGAUUAUUGCUAAUUGAAAGCUUUUCCCAAUACCCUGCCAUGACGACUUGCAAUAUAGUUGGCAUUGAAUUGGCAAUUUUUUACAGUCUCUAUGGAGA